GGUGAACGCUGGCGGCGUGCCUAAUACAUGCAAGUCGAGCGAACAGACGAGGAGCUUGCUCCUCUGACGUUAGCGGCGGACGGGUGAGUAACACGUGGAUAACCUACCUAUAAGACUGGGAUAACUUCGGGAAACCGGAGCUAAUACCGGAGAAUAUAUUGAACCGCAUGGUUCAAUAGUGAAAGACGGUUUUGCUGUCACUUAUAGAUGGAUCCGCGCCGCAUUAGCUAGUUGGUAAGGUAACGGCUUACCAAGGCAACGAUGCGUAGACGACCUGAGAGGGUGAUCGGCCACACUGGAACUGAGACACGGUCCAGACUCCUACGGGAGGCAGCAGUAGGGAAUCGUCCGCAAUGGGCGAAAGCCUGACGGAGCAACGCCGCGUGAGUGAUGAAGGUCUUCGGAUCGUAAAACUCUGUUAUUAGGGAAGAACAAAUGUGUAAGUAACUAUGCACGUAUUGACGGUACCUAAUCAGAAAGCCACGGCUAACUACGUG
RNAcentral lists this ribosomal RNA (497 nucleotides) under uncultured bacterium. Its description in RNAcentral is "partial 16S ribosomal RNA". It matches the Rfam family "Bacterial small subunit ribosomal RNA", at positions 28 to 507 of the family's 1533-position model. The record is from RNAcentral.